This 63-nucleotide transfer RNA is filed under the name Acanthacorydalis asiatica. RNAcentral's name for it is "tRNA-Arg". Lineage: Eukaryota; Metazoa; Arthropoda; Insecta; Megaloptera; Corydalidae. The record is from RNAcentral.
AAGUAUGAAGCGAUUUAUUGCAGUUAGUUUCGACCUAAUAUUAGGUAUUUAUACCCUUACUUU